CGGCAGGCCUAACACAUGCAAGUCGAGGGGCAGCAAGGUAGCAAUACUGGGUGGCGACCGGCGGAUGGGUGCGUAACGCGUAUGCAACCUACCAUUGAUUGGGGCAUAGCCCGAAGAAAUUCGGAUUAAUACUCCAUAAUAUUCAUCAAAGGCAUCUUUUAUGAAUUAAAGCUUUUGCGAUCAAUGAUGGGCAUGCGUGACAUUAGUUAGUUGGUGAGGUAACGGCUCACCAAAACGAUGAUGUCUAGGGGUUCUGAGAGGAUUAUCCCCCACACUGGUACUGAGACACGGACCAGACUCCUACGGGAGGCAGCAGUGAGGAAUAUUGGUCAAUGGACGCAAGUCUGAACCAGCCAUGCCGCGUGCAGGAUGACGGCCCUAUGGGUUGUAAACUGCUUUUAUAUGGGAGCAAUAAGGUCUACGUGUAGACUGAUGAGAGUACCAUAUGAAUAAGCAUCGGCUAACUCCGUG
Molecule: ribosomal RNA, 471 nt
Filed under: uncultured bacterium
Lineage: Bacteria
Description: bacterial SSU rRNA
Rfam family: Bacterial small subunit ribosomal RNA
Source: RNAcentral